UUUGCUGCUUACCAAGAUUAUUAGGAGGAGAGGGGGAAGGACAGACGGACAUGUCUUCAGAGACAGCCCAAAGUAAAGUUCAGGCAUCUUUACAGCAACAAAACAAACAGAUGUUCACAUCAAUAGAAAAGAAGUUGAAAGGAUCAGUCGAGAAUGUAGAAAGGAAAGUUUCUGGUACAGAGGCACUGUCAUCAUACUUGCAAGGAAUGCGAAGCAAAUUUUGGAUCUAAUGGACAGGAAAACUCAAAGCCUUCAGCUUCAUAAUCCCAGAUCACGUUUCUUCUUUUUAUGAAGUUACUUCAUAUCUUGGUAUCUGAAUUGUAGAACUGACAAAGAUGACAAAAUCCUGCAGAAAAAGUCUCUUCCUUCAAUAGCUUAUUCUGGACAGAAGAAAUUAAGCCUACAGUCAGGUGUAAACCAGUACACUGUGAGGAUUGGGUUGAUUUUAAAAAAGUUUGCUUAUAUAAUAAAUGCUAAUUUCUAGUAA
Long non-coding RNA from Trachemys scripta elegans, 487 nucleotides. RefSeq lists it as uncharacterized. Lineage: Eukaryota; Metazoa; Chordata; Testudines; Emydidae. The transcript is spliced from 4 exons. The record is from RefSeq and is a predicted model, not a curated record.